GACGAGCGCUGGCGGCGUGCCUAAUACAUGCAAGUUGAGCGCUGAAGGUUGGUACUUGUACCAACUGGAUGAGCAGCGAACGGGUGAGUAACGCGUGGGGAAUCUGCCUUUGAGCGGGGGACAACAUUUGGAAACGAAUGCUAAUACCGCAUAAAAACUUUAAACACAAGUUUUAAGUUUGAAAGAUGCAAUUGCAUCACUCAAAGAUGAUCCCGCGUUGUAUUAGCUAGUUGGUGAGGUAAAGGCUCACCAAGGCGAUGAUACAUAGCCGACCUGAGAGGGUGAUCAGCCACAUUGGGACUGAGACACGGCCCAAACUCCUACGGGAGGCAGCAGUAGGGAAUCUUCGGCAAUGGACGAAAGUCUGACCGAGCAACGCCGCGUGAGUGAAGAAGGUUUUCGGAUCGUAAAACUCUGUUGGUAGAGAAGAACGUUGGUGAGAGUGGAAAGCUCAUCAAGUGACGGUAACUACCCAGAAAGGGACGGCUAACUACGUG
This 497-nucleotide ribosomal RNA is filed under the name uncultured bacterium. RNAcentral describes it as "partial 16S ribosomal RNA". It matches the Rfam family "Bacterial small subunit ribosomal RNA", at positions 28 to 507 of the family's 1533-position model. The record is from RNAcentral.